RNAcentral lists this transfer RNA (63 nucleotides) under Catenibacterium mitsuokai. It matches the Rfam family "tRNA", at positions 5 to 66 of the family's 71-position model. Rfam says of the family: Transfer RNA (tRNA) molecules are approximately 80 nucleotides in length. Their secondary structure includes four short double-helical elements and three loops (D, anti-codon, and T loops). Lineage: Bacteria; Bacillati; Bacillota; Erysipelotrichia; Erysipelotrichales; Coprobacillaceae. RNAcentral also lists the same sequence under 1 other name. The record is from RNAcentral.
GAAUAGCUCAGCGGUAGAGCAAUCGGCUGUUAACCGAUCGGUCGGGGGUUCAAAUCCCUCUUC